RNAcentral lists this ribosomal RNA (526 nucleotides) under Alternaria alternata. RNAcentral describes it as "eukaryotic LSU rRNA". The stretch from base 175 to 328 matches the Rfam family "5.8S ribosomal RNA". The record is from RNAcentral. Lineage: Eukaryota; Fungi; Ascomycota; Dothideomycetes; Pleosporales; Pleosporaceae.
GGAUCAUUACACAAAUAUGAAGGCGGGCUGGAACCUCUCGGGGUUACAGCCUUGCUGAAUUAUUCACCCUUGUCUUUUGCGUACUUCUUGUUUCCUUGGUGGGUUCGCCCACCACUAGGACAAACAUAAACCUUUUGUAAUUGCAAUCAGCGUCAGUAACAAAUUAAUAAUUACAACUUUCAACAACGGAUCUCUUGGUUCUGGCAUCGAUGAAGAACGCAGCGAAAUGCGAUAAGUAGUGUGAAUUGCAGAAUUCAGUGAAUCAUCGAAUCUUUGAACGCACAUUGCGCCCUUUGGUAUUCCAAAGGGCAUGCCUGUUCGAGCGUCAUUUGUACCCUCAAGCUUUGCUUGGUGUUGGGCGUCUUGUCUCUAGCUUUGCUGGAGACUCGCCUUAAAGUAAUUGGCAGCCGGCCUACUGGUUUCGGAGCGCAGCACAAGUCGCACUCUCUAUCAGCAAAGGUCUAGCAUCCAUUAAGCCUUUUUUUCAACUUUUGACCUCGGAUCAGGUAGGGAUACCCGCUGAACU